Molecule: ribosomal RNA, 252 nt
Filed under: uncultured bacterium
Lineage: Bacteria
Description: partial 16S ribosomal RNA
Rfam family: Bacterial small subunit ribosomal RNA
Source: RNAcentral
UACGUAGGGGGCAAGCGUUGUCCGGAAUUAUUGGGCGUAAAGCGCGUGCAGGCGGCUUGUUAAGUCGGAUGUUUAAUGUCGGGGCUCAACCCCGAUUCGCAUCCGAAACUGGCAAGCUUGAGUGUAGGAGAGGAAAGUGGAAUUCCACGUGUAGCGGUGAAAUGCGUAGAGAUGUGGAGGAACACCAGUGGCGAAGGCGACUUUCUGGCCUAAAACUGACGCUGAGGCGCGAAAGCGUGGGGAGCAAACAGG